UACGUAGGGAGCAAGCGUUGUUCGGAUUUACUGGGCGUAAAGGGCGCGUAGGCGGCGCGGUAAGUCACUUGUGAAAUCUCUGAGCUUAACUCAGAACGGCCAAGUGAUACUGCAGUGCUAGAGUGCAGAAAGGGCAAUCGGAGUUCUUGGUGUAGCGGUGAAAUGCGUAGAUAUCAAGAGGAACACCUGAGGCGAAGGCGGGUUGCUAGGCUGACACUGACGCUGAGGCGCGAAAGCCAGGGGAGCAAACAGG
Molecule: ribosomal RNA, 253 nt
Filed under: uncultured bacterium
Lineage: Bacteria
Description: partial 16S ribosomal RNA
Rfam family: Bacterial small subunit ribosomal RNA
Source: RNAcentral